Molecule: long non-coding RNA, 244 nt
Filed under: Rosa chinensis
Lineage: Eukaryota; Viridiplantae; Streptophyta; Magnoliopsida; Rosales; Rosaceae
Description: sRNA RchiOBHm_Chr1g0372421
Source: RNAcentral
CAAAUUAAAAAUUUAUAAGUCCACUAAAAGAUUAAACAUGAAAAAAAAAAAGAACAAACCAACAUCAACAUAUGAAUGAGGGCAAUAGCAUAAUGUCAAGCUCGGAAAGAUGAAGUCUUCGACUUUGGAGUUCCUUCAUGGGGAGUUAUUGGUGUUGUAGAUUCACCAACACUAGUAUGAAGAAGUUGAUUUCGGAUUAGCACCGGAACUAGUAGCAGCAGAUUUUGAUUGCCUCUUCAUAAUG